This 740-nucleotide long non-coding RNA is filed under the name Trifolium pratense (red clover). RNAcentral's name for it is "long non-coding RNA (TPRA_LNC001660)". Lineage: Eukaryota; Viridiplantae; Streptophyta; Magnoliopsida; Fabales; Fabaceae. The record is from RNAcentral.
UUUGAAUUCCCUAUUUUUCUUCAAUUGUGUUUCUUAUAUCUGAUUUUAUAAUCCUCUCUCUAUUUUUAUUUUUUUUGUUUUGAAAUUAUUGUUGCUUAGUUGUCAUAUUUAUUAGGAUUUGUUUCUAUGUUUUAGUUAAUAAUAAUCACUACCUUUUAGGAGUUGUUAGUGGGAUUUAGAUGCUUAGUUGUCAUAUUUAUUAGGAUUUGUUUUUAUCUUUUAGUUAAUAAUAAUCACUACCUUUUAGGAGUUGUUAGUGGGAUUUAGAUGGUUUUCUCAAAUACAAUAUAACUGAUUUGUUUUUGUUAAAUUUUAGAUUUUCUUUUUUUAGAUUUUGUAUCUUUUUUUUUAUUUGAUUUGUUUCAAUUUUAAUUUGUUUUAUUUGUUAUUCCAAAGCAGCGUGGUUUCCUUCUUUUAUUUUCCUUCCCACACGUUGUUGCUUUCUUUCUCCAUCUUUGCACCAUUCCAUUUUGGUGAAAAACCAAAAGCUGCUUUGCAAUCCUAUUUUACAAGCUUUGACCAAAACUUAAAUUUCAUAAGCUUUGGCAGAAAAGAUGUAGCGUCACUUUCAUCUAUCUCUCUCAAAGCAAAAUAUUGCAGCACUACUCUGUUGUUUUUUGUUUUGUUGGCUGAUUUCAAAAUUCAAAAUUCAAUUUCUCCCUCUAACUCACUUUCUAACUCAUCUCACUCCAUUUUUUCUUGAUUCGUUCUCUCCAAAUGUUUCAAAUUGCUUCUCCAUC